UACAGAGGUCUCAAGCGUUGUCCGGAAUCAUUGGGCGUAAAGCGCGUGUAGGCGGUUCAGUAAGUCUGCUGUGAAAGUCCAGGGCUCAACCCUGGGAUGCCGGUGGAUACUGCUGGACUAGAGUGCGGAAGAGGCGAGUGGAAUUCCCGGUGUAGCGGUGAAAUGCGCAGAUAUCGGGAGGAACACCAAUUGCGAAGGCAGCUCGCUGGGACGUUACUGACGCUGAGACGCGAAAGCGUGGGGAGCAAACAGG
This 253-nucleotide ribosomal RNA is filed under the name uncultured bacterium. Its description in RNAcentral is "partial 16S ribosomal RNA". It matches the Rfam family "Bacterial small subunit ribosomal RNA", at positions 524 to 776 of the family's 1533-position model. The record is from RNAcentral.